This 1201-nucleotide long non-coding RNA is filed under the name Salmo salar (Atlantic salmon). RNAcentral's name for it is "lncRNA (ENSSSAG00000093149.1)". The record is from RNAcentral. Lineage: Eukaryota; Metazoa; Chordata; Actinopteri; Salmoniformes; Salmonidae.
CUCAUCUUCUGGAGCAGUGCAUCAUGACAUGUGAUGGCUGGAGGAGGCGUCAGCCACUGGAGGGUUGGCUUCUCACUGAUGUUAGGAAAAGUUACCGACAACCCUCCACCUCCCCACCACCAUCACCAGCUAAGACCCAUCACUGGAACUCCUUUCUCCCAGCGCGGGGGAUUCGAUUCCAGCUGACCCUCAUAGGACUACCUGCCAAAACAGCAUCUGGCUCCGAGCUCGGAGAUGAGGCCAUUCCCCAAACUAUUUCAUAUUGCAUUUUGCCUCUAUUGUUCAUUCAGUUAAUGAACGAUAAAGCCUUAAACUCGAUUGAACAUAUCAUGUUUAGUCCAGUUAACCCACCUCUAUAAAGAGGAAUAUUAGACUGUAUAUUAAUGUAUUGUCAUCUCCAUCCAUUUUGUUGUGGCUUAUGUAUUUUAGGAACAUGUAUAUUUAGCAUUUUACUGAAACAUUGGGAUAUGUAAAAAUAAGACUAUUUCUCCUAGAAUGAAAACAAUAAAUGCAUUUUGCAAUCAAAGCCAUGGUAACUUUAAUUCAGCUUUCAAAACAUUGGCCAUGAGUAAACCCCUUGUUCAAAAUGCAGUUUCAGGUAGGUGUUUUGGGGGGCGGUGUAGACAAUAGUUAGGAAAUAUAAUCUGACAACUCCUGCAUUGUGGCUUUUAUGAGAACCAUGGCAGUCCAGUGAAUGAGUUGGGCUGUCAGUCACAGUGCACAUGACCAGGUGUGAACAUUUUUUCCUUUUCUUUUUUCCGCCUCAGGUCACUCUGUGCUCUUAAAUUACAUGUUCCUUUUGUUAUAGGCAUAAAUGCAUUGUGUGUGCCACUUCCUCAAUGGUUCCCACUUUAGUCAGUGCAAGUUCUCUUGUUUAAGCAAAUGUAGGUCAAUUUGCUCAAAUUUGAUUGUGAAUUGUGUUUUCUGCUAUGUGCAACUCCUUCAUAUCAGAAUUUAGCUCAAUUCUGAUUAUGAUGAAAAAGUGAUUAUGAUAACUUUCUAGUGAGAAUUUAAAGGUUUUAAAUGUUUUUUGUUGUUGUUUUUUUACCUGCCCAGCAACUGUGAAUUGGGCCUAGUUUUUGUUUUAUAAAACUACAGCACACUGAUGUGAAAACUGAAAUGUUGAUUUAUUUAUGUGCACUAUCCCAGUCCCCAUCAACUAAAUUGCAUAAAUAUGUUUCAUAGUUUCCAUAUCCCUCUU